AGCACCCCCCCUUUCCUUCUGGGUCCCUUCCCUGCUCCAAACACCCCCAGCUCCCUGGAGACUCAGCCUGGACCACCGCAGACCAUAGAUGGGCAGACACCAGGGCCCGCCUUCAGGCGGAAUUGUGCCCAUCUGUGCUUCAGAGCCUUUCCCUGCACAAUGAAGACGUGGUCUGCACCUCACAUGGUGGCUGCCGUGAGGAUGAAGGACGAGGCUUGGGAAGCCAUCUGCACAGCUUCUGUCCACUGCAGAGGCCCAGAUUUUUGGAUGAGCACACACUCUUCAUACAUGUUAGAAGAUGUAAUGAUCCCAUUGACAAAAACAGAGUGAUAAGACACUUAAGAAUAAAUUCUGCAAGAAACGUAUGCACAACCUAUAUGAAGAGAACACAGACUGUCUGAAUGAAUGGAAGGUAUAUACUGUCCUUAGAGAGGAAGAUUUAACAUCAUAAAUAUUCUAUUCAUCUUUCCACCAGUUCAGACCUCAUCUCAGUUUAGUCUACAAAUUAAACACAACCCCGGUUAAAAUACC
Long non-coding RNA from Homo sapiens (human), 531 nucleotides. Lineage: Eukaryota; Metazoa; Chordata; Mammalia; Primates; Hominidae. The record is from Ensembl.